UGAACGCUGGCGGCGUGCCUAAUACAUGCAAGUCGAGCGAACAGACGAGGAGCUUGCUCCUCUGACGUUAGCGGCGGACGGGUGAGUAACACGUGGAUAACCUACCUAUAAGACUGGGAUAACUUCGGGAAACCGGAGCUAAUACCGGAUAAUAUAUUGAACCGCAUGGUUCAAUAGUGAAAGACGGUUUUGCUGUCACUUAUAGAUGGAUCCGCGCCGCAUUAGCUAGUUGGUAAGGUAACGGCUUACCAAGGCGACGAUGCGUAGCCGACCUGAGAGGGUGAUCGGCCACACUGGAACUGAGACACGGUCCAGACUCCUACGGGAGGCAGCAGUAGGGAAUCUUCCGCAAAGGGCGAAAGCUUGACGGAGCAACGCCGCGUGAGUGAUGAAGGUCUUCGGAUCGUAAAACUCUGUUAUUAGGGAAGAACAAAUGUGUAAGUAACUAUGCACGUCUUGACGGUACCUAAUCAGAAAGCCACGGCUAACUACGUG
Molecule: ribosomal RNA, 495 nt
Filed under: uncultured bacterium
Lineage: Bacteria
Description: partial 16S ribosomal RNA
Rfam family: Bacterial small subunit ribosomal RNA
Source: RNAcentral